Corvus hawaiiensis (hawaiian crow) is the source of this 7886-nucleotide long non-coding RNA. RefSeq lists it as uncharacterized. Lineage: Eukaryota; Metazoa; Chordata; Aves; Passeriformes; Corvidae. The transcript has 3 exons. The record is from RefSeq and is a predicted model, not a curated record.
CUCUCUUUCCCUCCUCUUCCCCCUCCCGCCGGCUGGGAAGCCCUGGAAAUCCCGUGUCCUCCGCCCUUUUAUCUCUCGUGGGCCGCCGAGCAUGGAGAACAGCGCCGUGUUCUCGUGCGGAAGGGCCGAGCCGCGGGGGGAGGAGCGGCGGCGGCGGCACCGCGUGUGGGCGGCGGGGGACACGCAGCCACGCCGGAGGCCCGGAUUUAAAAACAUGCGCAAGGUGCCCCCGGUGCCCGUCCGAAAUAGCUCCGCUUUCCCCAGGCUUCCGCGCUGUGUGGCGUUCUCGCCUUUCUCGGGGGACGCGGCGGCUCUGCAGGACCCUUCCGUAGCGCCUCUCCCAAGGGGGGUCAGAAAGUUCCCCCCACGCCCCGAGAGAAGGGCCCUUGGGCUUUGUUGUCGAAAGAUAGUUUGAAAAACUGCGGGAAGGAAGAGAGAUCACGGGGAAAGUGAACGUGGACAUACAAUUAGGAAGGCCAUUCUGCAAUCUUCUUUCAGAGCUGAAAAGAAGCUUUGGCAUUCAGGUCUAGCAGAAAAUUCUACUUGAGCAUGUGCAGUUUCUCUAAAUCUGUUUUAACUCCUGUCCAUGCAUUGUCAAAAAAGAAAUACCACUUCUGGCAAUUGGAGACAAUGAGCACAUUCUUCACGCUGUGUCACACAUUCCAUUGGCAUAGCUUGUUUUACGAAGAGGGUCUGAAAUGGAGAAGUGAUGCAGUGGCUUCCCCUGUCUUGCAGGCUUGAUCUUCCUGCAUCAAUGUAUUAUCUCAGGGAGUAAAAGUACUGUACUAUUGAAAACAUCACAGGUAAUGCAAAAGAAAAAAGAGUGAAAUAACUUUUGGAAAGCAGUUUAAUUUGUCCUUGAUUUUUGGCCUACCUUUCAUAUUUUUAAAAAGUUUUAUUUUUGAAUUCUUUGCCCCCUGAUGUUUGAAUGUACCUUCUGCAGCUCUCAUCUGUAUCCCAGCAGUCAUCAUGCCAGUUCCAAAGAUUUGUGGUAAGUAGUGGUCAAGUUCCCAGGAAGGGAACUGGAUCGUCCCCCAGAGAGUGCCAAGCUGUGUCCCUUCAGGUUGCAUGCACAGGAUGAACGCACCCGUAGCUAAGAUGUAAUGGACUGGUCAAGGUGUAACCUGCAGUCCCAAGGAGUGGCCAAACACCAGCCUGGUGAAACAUCAUCCAGAGGCUGUUGAUGUGGUCCUCUGGAACCGGCAGCUGUGCAGCUGCGCUUCUUUCAGGUGUGGCCUGGCUCUGAAAGCGGUUUAGUCACAUUCAUACAAUGUUGCUUUGACAGGUCAGACUUAAAGAUUCCACCUGUAAAACUGGUGAGAGCUACAUACACAGUCUAUAGCAUCUUUGACCUUGUUAAUCUGCAGUUUGGAUAAACAAACCCAGUAUUACUGUCUUAGAUAAAAGUAGUUGUAUGCUAAUUGAGCUUUAGAUCAGAACAACGUUUCCCAAAGCUCCAGAGCUAGGUGACUGACUUUUCAGUCACCUUUAAAAGCACCUUUAAAAGGAGUAAAUCAGCAUUUACUACAGGCCUUGUCUAUGUGCCAGAUUACUUCAUUGUGCAUUCCUGCUUUUUCUUUGAGAUCUGCACACCCUUCCUCCUCUCUAGCCCCCUUCAGAGAGGCAGUUUAUUACUGUAAUCUUGCUAAGACACUUGGAGUUUUUAGGGAUAGAGAUUUUCAUUGCUGUAAAUUUUGAAAUGUGCCUUUCUCAAACAUGGAUUUCAUUAAGCAAUUGAACAGUGUUCUUAAUGCUGUGCAUCACAAUCAUACUCCUCUGAAGCACACCAAAUAAAAUGCAUUGGGGUUUGAGUUACAUAUAUUUAUUUGGGAUGCCUGUAAUCUAUCUGUGCAUUCCACCUCUCACAUACCAUUUAAGGAGUCACAACUUUUGUCAACUUUAUUACAAGAAAUGUGAUACAAUGGUAGGAAAAACAUCUUCUUUUAAUGCCUGAGUAGGCAGGAAUAGCAGUGAUAAUCUUCAAAAGUGAUAUGCCUUCAUACAACUGGUUAGGAGAGUGCAGGAGGCUUUUUUCCCUUGCCGUGACAUCCUCUGCUAGGGUGGGAUUAGCACUCUCAGCCCCUCUGUAGCAGUUUUUUUGGGAGAGCUUCUGGCAGUGGGCAAAGCAUGUUUCAGAGCUAGAAAUAUUUUACUUGUCAGAACAUAAGCUGAGCUCGGUUCAGAUUUUAAAACCUUGAAAGCACAUACUAGAAAAAGAAAAACACCAAAACAAUGAAAUGAAAUUUUAAGAUGCAAAUGAGUGAAUGAAAUGAAGAAAGAAAUUAAAUGGAAUCUGUGGCCAUAGAUAUUGGUCUUAAGGAUGGGUCUUUCAUGAUCAGCUGUUCAGCCUUCUUUAGAUUACUCUUCCAAUUUCCUGUGUGCACCUUCCUGAUUUUUUCCUCUGUUAAGAACAAGCUUGAGGUUGUAGCAACAGAAGGGUUCUAGUGGCCUGUAGUCACUGCUAAGUGCUUAACCAAAUGUUGCUCGUAAAUACAACAGAGCACAUCUAGAUAACCAUCGACAUAAUACAAAAUCUAGUCACACAAUCAAAUAUUAAAAAGUCUUCUAGAAUUUGGUACUAAGGCAAGUGUCAGUAUUUAGAUUUCAUGUAUAUUACUUUUUAUUUUUUCCAUGACCUGUGAUGGAAAAAAAAAGUCUUCCUUCAGUAUUUUCUGCUUUAAACCAUUUGUAACUUGUCUCAGAGGUAUAUUAGGAUACAAAAUGAAUAUGUAAGCAGAAAGUGUCAUAUAUUAUCACUUCUGUCCUCCUUAUUGAUUGUAAACUGCAAGCACGAGACAUUCUCCAUGGAAAUAUGUUGAUUUGUCUCUAGAUGUAGCUGACAGUGAGUCAACAACAUACUCUUUAUGUCAUCCCUUUCUUAAAUCAAUAGGGUGCUUUCUAAAUUUAUAAUGUUCUUUUUUUAGAAGGAACACAGUCCUUCAAACCAAGAAAAAUUAUAUACCACCAUGGUUAAUACUUUAAAGACAGUCUCUGAGCUUCCCUUGAAUGAGUCAUUGUCACAGUCAUAUUUAAGGGACGUUGCUGUAUUUAUAGCAAAUAUACAGCAGAAAUAUUAUUCUGAAAAUAAUAAAUGUUUUCACUUUAUUUUUGCCUGAUUUUGUUAAUCAAAUAUGGAACAAUAUGUAAUGUAAUUUAUAUGAGUUAAAAUUUAACUUGUGGAGCCUCUCUUCUGUAUUUGGCCUGAUAAUACACUGUAGUAUAUUAGUGUAUACAGUGUACACUAGUCCUGUUACUGAUAGUCAGCUGGCCUAUGUACCAUAAUUUUGGAAGCUUUUAAGAUCAACUUGAUUACUAGAUAUCUAAUAGGCUCCAAGCACUCUUAUUUCUUACAUGCAACUUUUAUCUUUAAGUAGGAAAGAUGAGGAAAGCUAUCUGCAUGUUGUUAAAUGUGUCAAAAAAUGCUUCUAGUUCCACUUCUAACACAUUUAAUAUUUUGGCAAAGUGAGAAGGUUAUGUUUAUAUAUAUUUUUUUUCCCCUGAGAGAAUUUAAAUCUCUUAAUCAGUAGGAUUGAGUUGUUAGAGACAUAAACUUAGUCUUCUUUUUGUUGUAUAAAAGCAUCCUUUAUCAACAGACUACCAAAAAGACAAAGAAACAAUUUAUUUUAUAGACACUAAAAAAUAAAUAAUAUUAAUUAAGUUCAUAUUACAUAAUAUUCUCCAGUUUAAGUAAUUUUUGUGAGAUGUGGACAAAUAAUGCAUUAUAUCCAACAGGCUUACCAAAAGAUUUGUGCUUGAGAUGCAGCAUGCAGAUUGCUCUUGAAAAGUCCUCUAACAGAACAUAAUCUUCUCUUUUUACCAUGUCCAAACUCCUGAUGCUUUCAAGAAAAAAAAUACAAUUGCUAUUUUUCUCCAAAUUGGCAGAGGUUUAGCACCUUUUUUUUUUUUUUUUUUUUGCUUCUUUUUGCCUUUUUGGAUGAUGCAGUUGGCUAUUAUUAAGUCUUUAAUAUAUGUGCAGAUGGCAAGGGCACUAGAAGUGAAACUUCAUAACUGUGUCUGAGGAGCACAUUAUUUAGUAAGUAAGAUGAAACGUCAUUGUUAGGAGAGCUGCAAAGGAUCUCUAGAGCAGAUCUAUUCUCAACCAAUUAAUUAGAGUGCUUACUUAGAGUCCCUCAUCUGCAGUUGUACACCACAUGCUUAGGUAUAUAGUAAAAGGAAUUAAAUGGCCUGAGUAUUCUCCCAUUUUAUCCCCUGGCUCUUGGAGCAAUUGUGAGAAAGGUAAAAUUUUUGAGAUGUUAGCUAGGUAAGAUACCGUCACUGAAAUCAGUUAAUUGACAAUGGCUAUGGGGAGCAAUAUGCAUUUCUCUUUUUGGCUACAUGAGUCUCUCUUUGGCCAUUUCUCCAGCUGUUUUCCCUAGCACUAAGGGCAAGAUAUUUUCUGCCUUCAGCUGUUCUCAUACAAACCCAUAGAGAUUGAAGCACAGCUAGACCCUUUGUUGUGGGCAGUGGUAGCUUCAUACAAAAUUUAUUAAAGAAGCCCUCCUGUUGAGUCACAGGGUUCUGAGGGUGCAGAAAGGACCCCUUUGCUCUCUAAACUCCUUCUUAGAGAGGAGCCUGGGUGUGGCUGGAUCCAAUCUUAGCCCCAGACUUUGUCAACAGUUUAUGUCUAAAGGAGUAUAUAUGUGUAAUUGAACUUUGUCCUGCAAGAUUAAGGUUGGAAGAACAGAUAUAUUUAUAUAAAUAUAUAUGAUUUAUUAUGAUCAUGAUUAGACAAAAAGAUCUUAAUCAGAUUUACUACACAGUAUAGGAGCUGUAACAACUAUUAUAAUAUAGUGCAUUAUAAAAAUGUUGAAGCAAUUGCAUUAAAGUAGUUGUAUUAAAACUAGCAGAAACAAUUACUAAGUAGGGAUUGAUGUUACUCACCCAUACCGAUGACUGUGGGCAAGUCUCUUUUGCUCAGCCUGGAGGAGUAACCUUGAGGGACAUCUCCACUCACGAGAGGAAUCUCCACACAUACACUCCAAGAGGGGAUGUGUUAGAACACCCUGCCAUUAAAAUUUGGGACUGGGUUUUUAUAGUAUAGAGUGACUGUCAGUCUUAUGUCUCCAGGCCAGCUGUGCCAGUUCAGCAGCUUUAGAUAAGUUGUUGGUAGUAUCACUUGUUUAUUCCUUUAUCUGGGUACUUUACCAGUCCUACCACAUCUUCAUCUCACUGUCAGGGUGCUUAAUUUUGGGAUUGAUGAGUCAGACUGCUUUCAGCUUUAUUCAACACCAGAAGCAGUGUGAUGCCCCUUCUUCAUUUACCACUGGUAGCUUUGUGAAUAGGGCAUUGUUCAAGCUGUUUUACCCCAUUCCAGGCAAAGCAUCCUGCAAGUGCAUGUGCAUGUUGGAGGAAGAGUUGCUAGCACAUUUUGAAAAGGUUCUUAAAAGCAAGAGUGGCUAAAGAAAGAGUGAGAAAAGAAUGCAAGAUACUGAAGGCAAAUCUUGUAACUGAGUGUGCUCACAGUGAGUGGUAGAUUUGAGCUGCUCCAUGCAGAGCUGUUGGCAUGAUAUGCUGAAUGCUUUCAGGGGCCUCACUUCGAAGAGAGUCCCUUUUGACAGGAACAGUGGCCACUGAGUAUCAGCCAGCAGCAAGAGAAGAACUCCAAGGCUAAAGGUGAACCGAGAGCUGAGAGCAGCCACAGCAGAGGAUGAGUAGUGUUCUCAUUGCCAGGGCACAGUCUGAUCACACCUGGGCUGGAGAAGUAAAGGAAAGCAGUAAUAGUGACGGAGUUUAUGGAGAAAUCAUAGAGCAAAAGCAAGGCAACAAGCCAGAACAACCAUGUGGGGAUGGGGAUGGUAGGUAACACCUAUAGGAUAGAGCAGCCUGAGGAUAAAUCAAUCUUCUCAGGCCAUGGGUCAGGGCUUGUGAGUGUACUCUCAUCAGGACCAUUACAGCCUCUUGGUGCACUAGACCGUGAUGUUGAGCUUUUCAACUAAUCAAGCCCAAAUGGAGCUCUUAAAUGACAUAACUUGGCAGGCCAAAAUUUGCAGUGAAUACAUAAUUACAGGGUGUAAUAACCAGAUCAAGAUUGUACUGAUUUGUCAUGUUCAAGGUAUGCCAAGUUAAAAAGCUUCUGGUAGCUUCACCAGCCUUAGGUAGGCAUUUGGUCUCUUGUAAAAAUUAUGUCUUACUGUUGUGAUAAGAAAUAGAUUUGUGAUGUCUCUCAUUUUUUUAAUUUGGCCUAAUGCAUAUAUCUUCAUAUGCAAGACAAGGAUGAGUAAGUUUGUGCUAAGUCUUGAGCAAAUGCUGAAGGCCAAUGUUUUCCCCUUAGUGUAUACUGGUAAUAGUGGAAGAUCUUGUUAAAGCCAACUCGUUCUUGCAUGCAACUACAGGACUGAACAUUCUGUACUGCAUGAGUGAUGCUGAUGCAUGCUGAUCUGCAUGAGUGCCUAAAUCUCCACCCUUUAAAUCAUGUGAAAGAUUGUAUCACGGUGAGACACUGGAAGAAGUUGCCUGGAGAAGCUGUGGAUGCCCUGAACUGUUCGGGGCCAUGGUGGAUGGGGCACUGAGUAACCUGAUCUAGUGGGAAGUGUGCCUGCCCAUGCCAGGGAAGUUGGACUAAGUGAUCUCUAAGUUCCCUUCCAACCCAAACCAUUACAUGGUUCUAUGUUUGUUUCAUCUUGUUUCUUGGCAAUUCUCAAUUUUCUACUAACCUAAAGAAAUAAAAAAGCUAAAUAAUCAACUAUUUGGCAAUAAAAAACUAUAAAUCUUCAUAGGGGUUAUAUGCCUUUAACUGUAUUACCCAAUCUAUUUUUUCCAUACAAUUACAUGAAAAUAAUAAAAAAAGUAUUGAAAAAACACGAGACAGUGUGAAAAUUACUCUGCUAAAGUCUGUGUUUUCUCAAGUAAAAUAACAGCCUGAAAUCAACAGGGCAACACACAAGUGUGAGGGUAUACCUUACAUAGCCUUCCUUCUUGAGUGUGUGUUGAGCCUUUCAGUGUCUUGAAAAUCUUCAGGGGACCCCAUAUGAGAAAAGUAUAAAUGUUUUCUGCUAACAGGAUACUGUAUAUUGUAAUAGUGGCAGAAUCUGGUCCUGGAACAAUUAAAAUCUCAGUGUAUUAAAGAAAAAGAACACAAUUCUUUGUUUUACAUGCUAAGUUUGCCUCUGAAUGACUUGAUAGCCUGCUACUGAAGCAGAUAAAAAGACUGUGGUAAUACAAACCUCAUUUUCUUCCCCCAAGGUAUGAAUUGUAUGUAACUGAUGUGCUUUUUUGCAAUUUCUAGAGUAUAAUUAAUUGGAAUCUGCAUACAUGAAAAUGUUUUACAGUGUAUAGGUAGCAACAUGUUAUUGUUAGAGAAUGCUCACUAAUUAUCCCUGUUGGACCUCCUGUUUUUAAAGUCUGUAUCUAGGUAAUUUUUGGGUGCUUCAGUGCUUCACAUAACUAUUUCCUAUUGAAAAAGUAGAACUCAAAGCAUACUCUAGAUCACAGGUAAAUGUAGCAGUGGCAGGUAAACAUGCUUUUUUAGAUUGGGCCAGCAUCGACUUAGGUCAAUGAAGAAAGAUUAUACUCAAGUCUCACUUUGGCUUCUAAGUAGUUCUCAUUGCAGAACUUUGCUGAUUUGACGCUUCUGUUCUCUGAAAAGAAGGUUGAUGCUGUAGAAUAGAAAAUGAAGCUCAAGAACUUUUCUUUCUGUGAAAAAGUGUAGAAUGGAACAGGCUGCCCAGAGAGGUUGUGGAGUCUCCUUCUCUGGAGAUACUUUAAAGCUGUCUGGACACAAGCCUAAGUAACAUGCUUUAGAGGGCCCUGCUUGAGCAGGGCGGUUGAACUAAAUGACCUCCAGUGGUCCCUUCCAACCUCAUGCAUUUGGUGAAAAUAAUUGGUGCUUUUUCUUGUUGUGUUUUGUUUCACCUGAAUAAAACUACUUGUAUUUUUGGAAUUUAAUA